This 585-nucleotide ribosomal RNA is filed under the name Streptomyces parvulus. RNAcentral's name for it is "bacterial SSU rRNA". It matches the Rfam family "Bacterial small subunit ribosomal RNA", at positions 281 to 875 of the family's 1533-position model. Lineage: Bacteria; Bacillati; Actinomycetota; Actinomycetes; Kitasatosporales; Streptomycetaceae. The record is from RNAcentral.
GGGUAGCCGGCCUGAGAGGGCGACCGGCCACACUGGGACUGAGACACGGCCCAGACUCCUACGGGAGGCAGCAGUGGGGAAUAUUGCACAAUGGGCGAAAGCCUGAUGCAGCGACGCCGCGUGAGGGAUGACGGCCUUCGGGUUGUAAACCUCUUUCAGCAGGGAAGAAGCGAAAGUGACGGUACCUGCAGAAGAAGCGCCGGCUAACUACGUGCCAGCAGCCGCGGUAAUACGUAGGGGCGCAAGCGUUGUCCGGAAUUAUUGGGCGUAAAGAGCUCGUAGGCGGCUUGUCACGUCGGUUGUGAAAGCCCGGGGCUUAACCCCGGGUCUGCAGUCGAUACGGGCAGGCUAGAGUUCGGUAGGGGAGAUCGGAAUUCCUGGUGUAGCGGUGAAAUGCGCAGAUAUCAGGAGGAACACCGGUGGCGAAGGCGGAUCUCUGGGCCGAUACUGACGCUGAGGAGCGAAAGCGUGGGGAGCGAACAGGAUUAGAUACCCUGGUAGUCCACGCCGUAAACGGUGGGCACUAGGUGUGGGCAACAUUCCACGUUGUCCGUGCCGCAGCUAACGCAUUAAGUGCCCCGCCUG